Molecule: non-coding RNA, 37 nt
Filed under: uncultured Pelagophyceae
Lineage: Eukaryota; Pelagophyceae
Source: RNAcentral
UUUUUUUUUUUUUUUUUUCUUGUUUUUGUUUUUCUUC